CCUACGGGAGGCAGCAGUGAGGAAUAUUGGUCAAUGGACGAGAGUCUGAACCAGCCAAGUAGCGUGAAGGAUGACUGCCCUAUGGGUUGUAAAGUUCUUUUAUAAAGGAAUAAAACGAGGCACGUGUGCCUUUUUGCAUGUACUUUAUGAAUAAGGAUCGGCUAACUCCGUGCCAGCAGCCGCGGUAAUACGGAGGAUCCGAGCGUUAUCCGGAUUUAUUGGGUUUAAAGGGAGCGUAGAUGGGUUGUUAAGUCAGUUGUGAAAGUUUGCGGCUCAACCGUAAAAUUGCAAUUGAUACUGGCAGUCUUGAGUACAGUUGAGGUAGGCGGAAUUCGUGGUGUAGCGGUGAAAUGCUGAGAUAUCACGAAGAACCCCGAUUGCGAAGGCAGCUUACUAAACUGUGACUGACAUUGAUGCUCGAAAGUGUGGGUAUCAAACAGGAUUAGAUACCCGAGUAGUC
RNAcentral lists this ribosomal RNA (460 nucleotides) under uncultured bacterium. RNAcentral describes it as "partial 16S ribosomal RNA". It matches the Rfam family "Bacterial small subunit ribosomal RNA", at positions 338 to 795 of the family's 1533-position model. The record is from RNAcentral.